ACCCCUACGAACUGCAAUGCACCUUCAGAGAUUCAAUUUAGAGAUGUUGUGUCCAGUGGGAAUGGGAUUUGUAUUCAAACGAUUUGUGUUCAGAGAUUCAAUUCAUAACGUGUCCAAUUUAGCAGUGCGCUAACGGCACUCAAAGGAGCGUGUCCCGACUCAACUCGGAACGUGCCCUAACGGCACUCAAAUUAUAGUGCAAUGGCCGUUUAAAAAAUAGUGACCGUUGAAAAAAACAGGAAUUCACUUCUUAUAAAUGAACAGUUUACUUGAGAAGCAGGUCAAAUUUCUUGUUCUAUUUUCUUUUUGGUUUGAUUUGUCUCCCAUUGUAUGUUUUUGGCAUGGCCAUGCCUAUUUUUGAUUUUUAUUUUCCUGAAAUUUGGUUUUGAAUUUUUCUUUCCUGAAUUUUGGUUUUCCGUGUAUCUUCUUUUUUCUGUGGGUCGUCAUUUUUCAGUAUUCAGUAGCAAGAACACUACAUUCUGGAGUGGCUGAUUGGAGAUGUGGCCAGAAAAUAAGCAAAGCCAGAGGUGAUCGACUCUGCUUGACCAUUUUAACAGUAUCUUGGUCACCAAGUUGUGGAGUGUCUACAAAUGUUUGGAGGCUUGAAUGGGUAGCUGCUGAAGUGAAAUAAUGAAUGUAAUAUUUAAAAUUUCAGAAAAAAAUGUUACUAGAAAUCUUGAAUGGCUUGCUGAAUUAAUUAUUGAAAUCAGUAUUUGUAAACAGAUUUGUUUUUUAAUGUGAAAUUUUUAUUUGGAAGAGAUUGAAUUGGCUCCCUUUCCAAGGCUGUGGAGAAUGGUCAUUGGCCAUGCCCAUUUUUUUCAGUCUAGUUUCUAUUGGUUAAUUUUUUAUAUUUAUUUUUUACUGCAUGAAUAAGUUGUUGAAUCAACUACUGAAAUUAGUAUUUAUAAAUUGAUAUGUAAACAGAUUUGUUGUUUAAUGCCAAAUUUUUAUUUGGAAGGGGUUGAAUUGGCCCCCUUCCCAAGGCGGCAGAGAAUGGUCAUUGCCAUUCUUUUCAGUCUAGUGUCUAUUGGUUA
Cryptomeria japonica (Japanese cedar) is the source of this 1034-nucleotide long non-coding RNA. RefSeq lists it as uncharacterized. The record is from RefSeq and is a predicted model, not a curated record. Lineage: Eukaryota; Viridiplantae; Streptophyta; Pinopsida; Cupressales; Cupressaceae. The transcript has 3 exons.